CCUACGGUGAGCAGCAGUGGGGAAUAUUGGGCAAUGGAGGCAACUCUGACCCAGCAACGCCGCGUGAAUGAUGAAGGUCUUCGGAUUGUAAAGUUCUUUUCUAAGGGAAGAAGAAAGUGACGGUACCUUAGGAAUAAGCCUCGGCUAACUACGUGCCAGCAGCCGCGGUAAUACGUAGGAGGCAAGCGUGAUCCGGAAUGACUGGGCGUAAAGGUUGCGUAGGUGGGUUGACAAGUUAGUAGCGCAACUCCGGAGCUCAACUUCGGAACUACUACUAAACCUGUUGGACUUGAGUGCAGGAGGGGAAAGCGGAAUGCCUGGUGUAGCGGGGGAAUGCGUAGAUAUUUGGAGGAACACCAGUGGCGAAGGCGGAUUGCUAGACUGUAACUGACGCUGAGGCACGAAAGCGUGGGGAGCAAACAGGAUUAGAUACCCGAGUAGUC
This 443-nucleotide ribosomal RNA is filed under the name uncultured bacterium. RNAcentral describes it as "partial 16S ribosomal RNA". It matches the Rfam family "Bacterial small subunit ribosomal RNA", at positions 338 to 795 of the family's 1533-position model. The record is from RNAcentral.